UACGUAGGGUGCAAGCGUUAAUCGGAAUUACUGGGCGUAAAGCGUGCGCAGGCGGUUCUAUAAGACAGAUGUGAAAUCCCCGGGCUCAACCUGGGAACCGCAUUUGUGACUGUAGAGCUGGAGUACGGUAGAGGGGGAUGGAAUUCCGCGUGUAGCAGUGAAAUGCGUAGAUAUGCGGAGGAACACCGAUGGCGAAGGCAAUCCCCUGGACCUGUACUGACGCUCAUGCACGAAAGCGUGGGGAGCAAACAGG
Molecule: ribosomal RNA, 253 nt
Filed under: uncultured bacterium
Lineage: Bacteria
Description: partial 16S ribosomal RNA
Rfam family: Bacterial small subunit ribosomal RNA
Source: RNAcentral